Molecule: unclassified non-coding RNA, 490 nt
Filed under: Hevea brasiliensis (rubber tree)
Lineage: Eukaryota; Viridiplantae; Streptophyta; Magnoliopsida; Malpighiales; Euphorbiaceae
Source: RNAcentral
GCCACAACCACCAAGAACUGCAGUGGCGGUCGAGGUCCGGCGAGGUUGUCGGAUUUCGCCCAUUUUUGUUCCGAGCUUCACUCUUCUCUAAGACGCAUUGAGGGAAUUGUACAUAUCUAAGGGAAAAAAAAAAUGAAAGGAACUUGUACUCUCGUAGCUUCCGUGCUCGCCGCGUCCACCGUGGCUUUAUCCUCCUCCUCGGCCGCAGAUCGCGACGUCGCCUUUUAUCCUUCCUCCAAUGAGGGCUCGACUUAUACAAUGGGGAAACGUGGCGCACCAAAUGCUUGUGCAACGUCGGAUAAGGGGAAAUUUGUACCAAGAUUUGAUGGGUUGAGGUUCAUAGAAACUCUGGUCACGGCUCAUAGAUAAGCUUACAAAGCUCAUAAUUUUCUGAUUGUUAUUUGUUCAUGUUGAGGCAAACCCCAUGGGUUUAUAAGAUGUGAUUUAAAGAGAGUUGUGUUUUUUUUUUUUUUUCCCCUCUCUUAAUUUU